CUCAGGCGCCCUCCCUAAAUAAUGAUACACAUGCAUAUCGAACGGCAGCACGGGAGCAAUCCUGGUGGCGAGUGGCGAACGGGUGAGUAAUACAUCGGAACGUGUCCUGUAGUGGGGGAUAGCCCGGCGAAAGCCGGAUUAAUACCGCAUACGCUCUGCGGAGGAAAGCGGGGGAUCCUUCGGGACCUCGCGCUACAGGGGCGGCCGAUGGCAGAUUAGCUAGUUGGUGGGGUAAAGGCCUACCAAGGCGACGAUCUGUAGCUGGUCUGAGAGGACGACCAGCCACACUGGGACUGAGACACGGCCCAGACUCCUACGGGAGGCAGCAGUGGGGAAUUUUGGACAAUGGGCGCAAGCCUGAUCCAGCAAUGCCGCGUGUGUGAAGAAGGCCUUCGGGUUGUAAAGCACUUUUGUCCGGAAAGAAAACCUCGUGGUUAAUACCCGUGGGGGAUGACGGUACCGGAAGAAUAAGCACCGGCUAACUACGUGCCAGCAGCCGCGGUAAUACGUAGGGUGCAAGCGUUAAUCGGAAUUACUGGGCGUAAAGCGUGCGCAGGCGGUUCGCUAAGACAGAUGUGAAAUCCCCGGGCUUAACCUGGGAACUGCAUUUGUGACUGGCGGGCUAGAGUAUGGCAGCGGGGGUAGACUCCACGUGUAGCAGUGAAAUGCGUAGAGAUGUGAGGAUACCGAUGGCGAAUGCAGCCCCUGGGCCAUACUGACGCUCAUGCACCGAAAGCGUGGGGAGC
Molecule: ribosomal RNA, 746 nt
Filed under: Burkholderia sp. Vi12
Lineage: Bacteria; Pseudomonadati; Pseudomonadota; Betaproteobacteria; Burkholderiales; Burkholderiaceae
Description: bacterial SSU rRNA
Rfam family: Bacterial small subunit ribosomal RNA
Source: RNAcentral